RNAcentral lists this unclassified non-coding RNA (6063 nucleotides) under Owenia fusiformis. RNAcentral's name for it is "adenylate cyclase". Lineage: Eukaryota; Metazoa; Annelida; Polychaeta; Sabellida; Oweniidae. The record is from RNAcentral.
GAAUAUUUACAUUGAACGAAACAUCACUUUAUAUACAUAUGUAGAUGUCUGUAUAUUUUUAACAGCUGGAGGUCCUUUAUGAACGGUUAACAAUUCACAAGUACUUAAAAUUGCCAGGCACAGGACUAAACAACAUUGAUUGAGUGGAUUAUUUCAAAAAGUAGCUGCAAUACAAUUUAAAUAAACGUCUCAUAUAAUACGAUGAGUUAAAUAAGUGGAUGUUGGACUUGAUGUAUAAGAUGUAUAUGUGAAAUGUCCGUUUGGCGUUGAUUGCAACAUUCUUUAUUGACAAGCCAUGCUAUGAAAGUUCAGGUUACUUCAUGAGCCACUUAUAUCAAGGACAACUUUAUUGAUAGGAUAUAUGCACUGGCUGGUGGUACAAGUUGAGUACAAUGUGAAGAAGGUGGUCGACACAAACAACAGGCAAUCGGCCGAAAUAUCACAAAAUAAACUAAGUAGGUCAGGAUAAAUAUUACACAUGGUGUUUGAGGAUGAUUAAACAGGAAUUUGAAAUUGCAUUCUUAAGUUGACUUCAUGAUAACUAAUUGGACCUCAUUCGGCAAAUACAAAUUUUCUGUGGAGUAGAGAAGCAAGUUCUAAAUGAUAUCACUGAAUAUCUGUCAAUGGGAAGAGAUGACGUUUAUCACGAUCAUAUUAUAGACCACACCAAUUGAACUAUUAUGUGUGUUGUGGGGAAUAUCGUUUUUAUGACCGUUAGUACCAAAAUCGACAUUUUCAAGUGCAGCGUCGGUACACAUGGUAAAACUGUCAAUUAAUUAGUAGAUGUAUAUUUAGUUUUAUUUGAGGAGUGGAAGAAUAUAUCUAAUACAACGGUGACUAAUUACUUCUGAUGUAUACACUAUAUCAUCUGAACCCACAGAUAUUUCUGGAUUUGCAUAUUAUACGACUGGUAAUCUAUAAUCUGACGGCGGAAAUUUCUAAUAUCGUCAAAAACCAUGCCUAAGAAGGUCAGCCUAGCCAAAAAGGGACGGAAGUCUUCAAAUCUAUUCAAACGAUCGAAUACGUACGAUUUGGAAACCUGUGGUACAUACAAUGAGGGGUAUGAUGGCCCACAUUCCCCUACGCUUUCAACAACUAAUGAAACAAUAUUAGGAACGGGUACAGGUACAUUCCGACGAAUUGGGGAUUCAUAUAUUGAUCUUCCAACCAUCGGACAAAGCAAUGACUCUGAUGAGAAAACAAAGGAGAGUUCUCAUGUGAUUAUAAGGGAUAGUGUAACGGAUGCUGGUGUAACGACUUCGCUUAACCGACCAAACAAUUCUCCUCCAUAUUCUCCAAAGGAUGAAGUGUCCUUAAAUGAUAUCUGUGUUAACUUUUCAAUUUCUCCUCAACCCCAGGAAAUAUCUGAAGACAUACAUGUAAAACCUAUCGUACAGUGCAUGAAAAUAGCAUCAUCGUUAGACCACAACCAGUCCGAGAAAUUAUUCUCACCCCAAGAACAUGAAAAGACCGUGGAAUUAUCAUCAUUGUCAGAUCAUGUACGUUCCUUGGAAUUAUCAUCGGCAUCAGAACAUAAAAAGUCUGUUAGAUUACCAUCAUCUUCAAAACAAAAACAGUCAGACCAUAAACAGACCGUGGACCUACAAUCAUCAUCAAAACAUAUCGAGAUGCUAUCAUCAACGGAUCAUGAACAAUAUAAGGACGAUCAAAAAUCCGCACCAUCAUCGAAUAAUGAAAUAUGUAAAAACGUGCCAAAACCAAAUCAAAGAAUUGAAAAUGAUCCUGGUGCAAAUAGAGAUUUAAUUCCAGAAUGUUGCAACAAACCAGAGAUUCAUAAAGCAAAUAGUUUAACUCAUUCAGUUGAAUCAGAAAAAUCACAUACUAGUGAACAGCAAAGCCAAUCUAGUGAUAAAAGUGAAAUUUGCAACGAACCCCAUAAUAAAAAUAUAGCCUUUCUAACUCCGUCCAAUAUUUCGAACCAAACUGAAUCAAAUGUUGAUAAAGAUGAAGCCAUUAAAUGUGAUGAUGUUGUUUUGCACGAAUCUAGUCCUGGAGAUACUGAACGUCUCAAACGUGACUCCAUAUCGGAAAAUGUACCUAAAAAGACCAGUAAACGGAUUUCAUUUGGAGGCACUGAAUAUAUUAACAUGGACCAUGAGGAAACAUCUAUCCAACGAGACCUACAUAUCAAUGCUAAUGUUCAUAUUGAAACAUCCACAAAUAAUAACGUACCAGAUAUUACCAAACUAAACGGAAAUACUCCAUCUACCAAAAAUGGCGGGACCACCUUUUUGAAAAACGGCUCCCUAAGAAAUGGAUCAUUACCAAGACAACAACAUGAAUAUAAAAGUAGAGAAGAGAUCCAAGAAAUGUUCCCAGCAAUUGCUUUAAGGAAGAAGAAGAAGCAAAGACGGAAAGUUGCAGUCGCUGAGAUUGAUCAACCUGACUUGGUUGCUUCAAGACCUGAAAUUUCAGCACCUCAAUCGCUUACGUUGUCAUCGAGGAGAGUAUCGUUCGCCGCUGAUCCGGAUCGGGAACAACCAACUUCAGAAAACGACAUUGAUGAGGAGAAUCCAAAACCACCACGAAGAAGGAGAUCUAUGAGACGACGUAGUAAAUGGUCACUACAAUACAUCAAGGAUCGAUUUGAAGACAAUGAGAUCGAGGAUCUGUACAAGAGAUAUUCACUACGGAUCCAGAGGGACACAUUGAUCGCCCUUCUUGUAAUUUUAGUAUUCUAUGGGGUUUCUCAGAUCCUCCUAAUCAACACAGUCGGAAUGGAAGAUAGUGCAGCUAGUAGAGAGAGUGCUCCUGGCACGAACAUUGUCAUGGGUGUAGGGAUAGGAGGAUCAUUAGUAGGAAUAGCACUGGUCUCAAUUAAACCCGUCUUCGUCAAGUUCAACAAACUCAUCGCUCUCUUCAUCUGGCUCUUCCUGAUGACAACCGUCUAUAUCUUUUUCACAUUUCAAACUGAUAAGCAAUCAUUUGACGAUGUACCCAUGAUAUUUUAUAUGAUCUUCAUUAUCCAUACAAUGAUGCCUAUGAACAGAAAAUGGGCUUUAAUUCUCGGAAGUCUCACUGGCGUUCUAGAUUUACUCGUCCAAGGUAUUCUUCUGCACGUCACUGAAAAUUUCAUUGUGUUUCUGACAGCUAAUCAGCUCGUUUGUAAUGGUUUGAUAUUCGUUUGUGCCAACCUAGUAGGAUUAUACCAUAAAUACUUAACAGAUCUUGCUCAUAGACAAACAUUCCUAGACACUCGAGACUUUAUUGAGGCCAACAUCAAGUUCAGCAGAAGAAGAGAAAAACAGAAUAAAAUGAGAGAAGGAUUGUUACAUAAGAUCAUACCCAAAUACCUCGUCGAAGAUAUCAAACAACUGUUAUUGAAGCGUCUCGUACAAUCCGAACCUGAUGCAACGGGGUUUUAUGACUUAAUGAUUCAACGCCAUGAGCAAGUCAGCAUUUUAUACGCGGAUAUAGUCAAUUUUACACCGCUAACUAAUGAACUAUCCCCAUACGAUCUCGUCAAUGCACUGAACGAACUAUUUGGGAGAUUCGACCAACUGGCCAAGGAGCACAACUGUAUGCGAAUUAAGAUCCUUGGAGACUGUUACUAUUGUGUAUCGGGUUUGCCUGAUCCUAUUCCAACUCACGCGAGAAACUGCGUUAGAAUGGGGCUCGAGAUGAUAAAGGUGAUCAGGGAAAUACGACAUAAAACUGGUGUUUGGACACUAGAUAUGCGCAUUGGUGUGCAUUCCGGGACUGUGCUAUGUGGUGUGCUAGGAUUGAGGAAAUGGCAAUAUGACGUUUGGUCGGAUGAUGUAACAAUAGCAAAUCAUAUGGAGUCGAGUGGAGAAGCAGGGAAGGUACACAUAACAAAAGCUACACUGAAAGAGCUUGGAAAAGAGGGAGAAGAAUUUGUUUGGAAUGAGGCACAUGGACAGGAAAGAGACACUGUUCUCAAGGAAAACAACAUCGAGACAUACUUCAUACAACCAAAAUCCGAGUCUGCUGAUGACGUCAAUGAUAAUACCGACGUAGCAAAGGGUCGACCAAAACGUCCCUUGGCAAGACGAUUCUCUGUGUAUGUGGAGAACUGGGGCGCCGAGAAACCAUUUGUCAGCCUCUCAGAUUAUAUGAUGGAGAAGACAAUGCCACUGUAUGUCUAUGGACAGGAGAUAGGAGAAGAGGAAGAGGCAGAGGUGAAGAAGAGAUUGGAGAGAGCAUUUCACCUUGAAGAGAAUGAUGAUAUUCAUGACUAUAAGGACUGGAUCAAGCUGGAAUCUGAUGAAAUAAGUGCAGUGACCCUGCUGUUUAAAAACACUGAAACAGAAAAUCAGUACUCUAACCUUCCAGACCCUCUGUUCAAAUAUUACAUCGUCUGUGCGUCUAUCAUAUACGCAUGUGUCGUGCUCAUCCAGUUUAUGAUCUUCAACACAUCAGUACUUCAGGUCUGUGUUUUUUCUGUUGGGAUUUUACUGUUCCUAGCUAUGAGUGUUUUUGGUAUGGCUGCUGAUAUUUCAUGUCUCAGAAGAACAUUUUUCUCAAGAGCGUCGGGCAAUAUCACUAGGAGUAAAUGGGCAAAGAUAUUAAUAUCAUUUACAACCAUAAUAUACCUGUUCACAUCAGCUAAUAUAAUAGCAUUUGAGUGUAAGGACGUCCAUGAUGAUCCAUAUAAUUGCACCAAUCAGACAGUCCAGUUAUUCAGAGAAAUGGUGGAGAUAUUGGCAGACGAGGGCGUCUGUGUAUUUGCACCGUAUUUUAUGUAUUCGAGUAUGCUGGCACUAACUGCAUGUAGCGUGUUUCUUCGCCUUAACUGGCUCAUAAAGAUUGCUUAUAUGGUUCUCGGCCUUCUCUCCUACAACUCACUCUUCCAUAUAGUCCUGGCACAUGUUUUUGACUUCUAUGAUGAAUGUCUAGGGCCUGAUAUUCUCCAACUGCGAGUGAGGGGAUCUUUCUAUCUCACGGUUAUGUUCGUCACUUUAAUUGUUCUAGACAGACAGACGGAGAGGAACAGUAGAUUGGACUUUCUUUGGCAAACAAAAAUUGAGCAGGAGAAAGACGAACUUGAACGUAGUGAAAUGCUUAACACAAUGUUAUUGGAGAAUAUUCUACCACGUCAUGUAGCGGAACACUUCUGCAGUCCUGAACUUGGCAAGGGGAGCGUGUAUCACAGGCAUUGUAAGAAUGUCUGUGUGAUGUUUGCCUCCAUACCUAACUACAUCCAUUACUUUUCAACUGUAGCAGGAACACAAGAGUCACUUAGGCUUCUUAAUGAAAUAAUCUCAGAUUUCGAUAAGUUGCUAGCAUUAAAAAGGUUUCGACAAGUGGAGAAGAUAAAGACGAUAGGUAGCACAUAUAUGGCUGCAACUGGGUUGAGUCCCGGGGAGAAUCUCAGAGAAGAGAAUGAUGAUCUGACAUCCAGUGAAAACACUAUAUUAAUGGCUAUGUUUGCCAGUGAAAUGAUGUCAAAACUGGCUGACCUAAGUAAUGACGUACUGUUCGAAUACAAACUCAGGAUAGGUAUUUGCCAUGGGGAUUUAAUAGCUGGAGUCGUGGGUGCAAGUAAGCCCCAAUAUGACAUUUGGGGAGACACUGUGAACGUAGCUAGCAGGAUGGAUACGUACGGCGUCAUUGGGCGGAUACAAAUGCCAGAGGCAACGGCGAACAUCCUGAUGAAGAAAAAAAUCUCUUGCGAGUUCCGAGAUACAAUCAGUGUCAAAGGCAAGGGUAAAAUGAAGACGUACUUACUCUCAGACACGAUUAGAAUGGAUACGGCCAAUGACUCGGUCAGAAGUGACGUAUACUUCCAGUACUUUGCUUAAAGAUUUACAAUGAACGAAAUACAGAAAUAUGGACCAUGCAACUGACUCAUAGUAUGUGUUCGAACCAAGCCCAAAUAUUUGGGAAUUGAAAUAUGACCAUGGAUUCGUCAAUUUAUCAAUUUUUAUUAAUUUUACUUAUGGCUCUUUAGUGUGGCUAGUACAGUAUUCAUCAAACAAACAACGAUUAAACAACCAAACAAACAAUCAAACUAACAAUCAAACAAACAGGCUGGCCCUGAAAGUGGUUAGAGACACUGCUGAUACAAAGCUGUGAUGGAAC